This 253-nucleotide ribosomal RNA is filed under the name uncultured bacterium. RNAcentral's name for it is "partial 16S ribosomal RNA". It matches the Rfam family "Bacterial small subunit ribosomal RNA", at positions 524 to 776 of the family's 1533-position model. The record is from RNAcentral.
UACAGAGGUCCCGAGCGUUGUUCGGAUUCACUGGGCGUAAAGGGUGCGUAGGUGGUGAGGUAAGUCGGAUGUGAAAUCUCCGGGCUCAACCCGGAAAUGGCAUUGGAAACUACCUUGCUGGAGGAUUGGAGGGGGGACUGGAAUUCUUGGUGUAGCAGUGAAAUGCGUAGAUAUCAAGAGGAACACCAGUGGCGAAGGCGAGUCCCUGGACAAUACCUGACACUGAGGCACGAAAGCCGGGGGAGCAAACAGG